CUCCAUUAUAUGAAGAGUCUGUGGCUCCAACAGUAGUUGACGAACUGAUGUGAUAAAGAGUACACCACCGCUGAAACUAAACUCUCUGGUUGCAACUAUAAAUACACACAGUUAUGUGUUUAUAUCUAUGCUAAUUGUGUGAAAUUGCUAGAGCUGUUCAACAGAUUUUCACUUUGAAAAACUGAGGAGAUCAGGAGCUCCUGCAUAUGCAGUUGCAUGUGCAGAUGGGUUGAUAGAGAUGUCGGUGAUUGCGCUGCGCUGAAACAUCCCCUUCACAUAGUCUGCAGUAUGUUGCUGAGUAGGACAAGAAGACCGGACUUCAAGAUCUUGAAGCUGCAGCUGUCUGUCUGAGAAAGCUAAGGAGCAAGCCAACACUGACAUGGCCAGGAACAGGAAGGUUCAGCAUGAGCUUGAGGAAGCUCAGGAGCGCGCUGACAUCGCAGAGUUGCAGGUCAACAAGCUGAGAGCAAAGAGCCGUGAAAUUGUCAGGGUCAAGGAGACAUGAAUGAACCGCAGUCUGGAUGAAAUCACACAAUAUGAGCUUUUUUGUCUGAUGUACCAACUACGUGACAAGAAAUAAACACACAAGCAGUUGAAUAUCUUUAUAUGUCGUAUGCUUUAAAUAAUGCUUAACUCAAAAGAAGUAGACAUGAAGCUAGUUAUUCAGAGACAUUACGGUCAUCAAAGUUAAACAGUUAUUUUUUUUAAAUAUUUGUAGGAGUGCUCGAGAGCUCCAAACGCAUUUCUCAAAAUGCGUCAGGAUUUAAAGGUGUACUUACACUUGGUGCACCUCUGCACAAGUUAAACAAUACAUAUAGAACCUAAUAACAGUGAACUGAAAUGCUCUUUUAUGUGUGUGGUGGUCUAAAUGUGGGCUGCACAGCUUCAUCACUCGCAAUAACCUGGUUGUCAACUGUCACCUGUUAUCACAUAGAAGUUCUUUAGGCUAUGAUAACUGUAAAUCUGUUCCCUUUGGUGAUAAUGUUACUGACAGUGUAGUGACCUUACAGUUUUUCUAUGUGCUCCAGCACAUAUGUUGCACCAUGUCACGACGUUGUGUGAUGAAAAUAGACCCAUCAGUGACCCACAACCUGCAGCAACACUCCUCCUCGUGCUUAAACCCGAGCAGUGUCUUGGCAUUCACCGUCACUACAUCUCAAAUUAUUGCUUUUUAUUUUAAUAAAAAGAAAAUCAUGGAAAACCCAAUAGAAACCUGAAGUAUUCUGGAAAGCUAGCAAAGUACAGAAAAGCUAAAGUAAUAUUGUAAUAUUUUAUUAAAGCAGAGUGAGGAAAAACAAGAUAUUUAAUGUGGAUGUUACUGCAGGU
This is a long non-coding RNA of Astatotilapia calliptera (eastern happy), 1326 nucleotides long. NCBI's taxonomy places the organism in Eukaryota, Metazoa, Chordata, Actinopteri, Cichliformes, Cichlidae. The record is from Ensembl.